Molecule: ribosomal RNA, 253 nt
Filed under: uncultured bacterium
Lineage: Bacteria
Description: partial 16S ribosomal RNA
Rfam family: Bacterial small subunit ribosomal RNA
Source: RNAcentral
UACGUAGGGGGCAAGCGUUGUCCGGAAUUAUUGAGCGUAAAGCGCGUGUAGGCGGUCCGGUAAGUCGGUUGUGAAAGUCCAGGGCUCAACCCUGGGAUGCCGACCGAUACUGUCGGACUAGAGUUCGGAAGAGGCGAGUGGAAUUCCCGGUGUAGCGGUGAAAUGCGCAGAUAUCGGGAGGAACACCAAUGGCGAAGGCAGCUCGCUGGGACGUUACUGACGCUGAGACGCGAAAGCGUGGGGAGCAAACAGG